RNAcentral lists this ribosomal RNA (492 nucleotides) under uncultured bacterium. Its description in RNAcentral is "partial 16S ribosomal RNA". It matches the Rfam family "Bacterial small subunit ribosomal RNA", at positions 29 to 507 of the family's 1533-position model. The record is from RNAcentral.
AGUGAACGCUGGCGGUAGGCCUAACACAUGCAAGUCGAACGGCAGCACAGUAAGAGCUUGCUCUUACGGGUGGCGAGUGGCGGACGGGUGAGGAAUACAUCGGAAUCUACUUUUUCGUGGGGGAUAACGUAGGGAAACUUACGCUAAUACCGCAUACGACCUACGGGUGAAAGCAGGGGAUCUUCGGACCUUGCGCGAUUGAAUGAGCCGAUGUCGGAUUAGCUAGUUGGCGGGGUAAAGGCCCACCAAGGCGACGACCCGUAGCUGGUCUGAGAGGAUGAUCAGCCACACUGGAACUGAGACACGGUCCAGACUCCUACGGGAGGCAGCAGUGGGGAAUAUUGGACAAUGGGCGCAAGCCUGAUCCAGCCAUACCGCGUGGGUGAAGAAGGCCUUCGGGUUGUAAAGCCCUUUUGUUGGGAAAGAAAAGCAGCAGGUUAAUACCCCGCUGUUCUGACGGUACCCAAAGAAAAAGCACCGGCUAACUUCGUG